UCUGUCUCAGCUUCACUGGAUCACACAGGUUCAGUGUAUACUUGGCAUAUUUUAAGGAAGAGAGAGAGGGAGGAACCCUCCUAAUGCACUGCAGACCUGCCCCAAAGUGGUCUUUCUGUUCCUAGGAGUGUGAUAUUU
This 138-nucleotide small nucleolar RNA is filed under the name Castor canadensis (American beaver). Its description in RNAcentral is "Small nucleolar RNA SNORA64/SNORA10 family (ENSCCNG00000028488.1)". It matches the Rfam family "Small nucleolar RNA SNORA64/SNORA10 family". Rfam says of the family: This family belongs to the H/ACA class of small nucleolar RNAs (snoRNAs) which act as guides in the the modification of uridines to pseudouridines. This family includes the human snoRNAs U64 and ACA10 and mouse MBI-29. The record is from Rfam by way of RNAcentral. Lineage: Eukaryota; Metazoa; Chordata; Mammalia; Rodentia; Castoridae.